GCUAGCGGCAGGCUUAACACAUGCAAGUCGAGGGGUAUGCUUCUUCGGAACUAGAGACCGGCGCACGGGUGCGUAACGCGUAUGCAAUCCACCUUUUACAGAGGGAUAGCCCAGAGAAAUUUGGAUUAAUACCUCAUAGUAUAGCGACAUCGCAUGAUGAUGCUAUUAAAGUCACAACGGUAAAAGAUGAGCAUGCGUCCCAUUAGCUAGUUGGUAAGGUAACGGCUUACCAAGGCUACGAUGGGUAGGGGCCCUGAGAGGGAGAUCCCCCACACUGGUACUGAGACACGGACCAGACUCCUACGGGAGGCAGCAGUGAGGAAUAUUGGACAAUGGGCGCAAGCCUGAUCCAGCCAUGCCGCGUGCAGGAUGACGGUCCUAUGGAUUGUAAACUGCUUUUAUACGAGAAGAAACACUACUUCGUGAAGUAGCUUGACGGUAUCGUAAGAAUAAGGAUCGGCUAACUCCGUGCCAGCAGCCGCGGUAAUACGGAGGAUCCAAGCGUUAUCCGGAAUCAUUGGGUUUAAAGGGUCCGUAGGCGGUUUAAUAAGUCAGUGGUGAAAGCCCAUCGCUCAACGGUGGAACGGCCAUUGAUACUGUUAGACUUGAAUUAUUAGGAAGUAACUAGAAUAUGUAGUGUAGCGGUGAAAUGCUUAGAGAUUACAUGGAAUACCAAUUGCGAAGGCAGGUUACUACUAAUUGA
RNAcentral lists this ribosomal RNA (703 nucleotides) under uncultured soil bacterium. RNAcentral describes it as "bacterial SSU rRNA". It matches the Rfam family "Bacterial small subunit ribosomal RNA", at positions 35 to 739 of the family's 1533-position model. The record is from RNAcentral.